UCCUGCCAGAGUGGAAUAAGACACCCAUC
This 29-nucleotide non-coding RNA is filed under the name Mus musculus (house mouse). Lineage: Eukaryota; Metazoa; Chordata; Mammalia; Rodentia; Muridae. The record is from RNAcentral.